RNAcentral lists this ribosomal RNA (226 nucleotides) under uncultured bacterium. RNAcentral describes it as "partial 16S ribosomal RNA". It matches the Rfam family "Bacterial small subunit ribosomal RNA", at positions 109 to 334 of the family's 1533-position model. The record is from RNAcentral.
CGGAACACGUACAGAACCUUCCUUUAAGCGGGGGAUAGCCCAUAGAAAUGUGGAUUAAUACCCCAUAGUAAUACUAGCUGGCAUCAGAUGGUAUUUAAAGAUUUAUCACUUAAAGAUGGCUGUGCGGCUGAUUAGGUAGUUGGUGCGGGUAACGGCCCACCAAGCCAACGAUCAGUAACUGGUGUGAGAGCACGACCAGUCACACGGGCACUGAGACACGGGCCCG